This 440-nucleotide ribosomal RNA is filed under the name Breviceps sylvestris (forest rain frog). RNAcentral's name for it is "partial 16S ribosomal RNA". It matches the Rfam family "Bacterial large subunit ribosomal RNA", at positions 1923 to 2529 of the family's 2925-position model. Lineage: Eukaryota; Metazoa; Chordata; Amphibia; Anura; Brevicipitidae. The record is from RNAcentral.
UUAAACGGCCGCGGUAUCCUAACCGUGCGAAGGUAGCGUAAUCACUUGUCUACUAAAUAUAGACUAGUAUGAAUGGCACCACGAGGGUUCCACUGUCUCCCAACUUUAAUCAGUUAAACUGAUCUCCCCGUGCAGAAGCGGGGAUCCCAUUAUAAGACGAGAAGACCCCAUGGAGCUUUAAACAUAAAGUCAACUGCUACACUAGUUACCAAAAUAAUACAGCAACAAUGACCUAAGUUUUCGGUUGGGGCGACCACGGAGAACAACAAAACCUCCAUGAUGAAUGAACAUUAAAUUCUUACCCAAGAGCCACAUCUCAAAGGAUCUCAAUUGUGACAUCUCUUGACCCAAGCCACUUGAUCAACGAACCUAGUUACCCUGGGGAUAACAGCGCAAUCCAUUUCAAGAGCCCCUAUCGACAAAUGGGUUUACGACCUCGA